Molecule: ribosomal RNA, 253 nt
Filed under: uncultured bacterium
Lineage: Bacteria
Description: partial 16S ribosomal RNA
Rfam family: Bacterial small subunit ribosomal RNA
Source: RNAcentral
UACGUAGGGUGCGAGCGUUGUCCGGAAUUAUUGGGCGUAAAGAGCUUGUAGGCGGUUUGUCGCGUCUGCUGUGAAAAUCCGGGGCUCAACCCCGGACUUGCAGUGGGUACGGGCAGACUAGAGUGUGGUAGGGGAGACUGGAAUUCCUGGUGUAGCGGUGAAAUGCGCAGAUAUCAGGAGGAACACCGAUGGCGAAGGCAGGUCUCUGGGCCACUACUGACGCUGAGGCGCGAGAGCCAGGGGAGCAAAACGG